AGACGGAGGGCGCAAGCGUUGUUCGGAAUUACUGGGCGUAAAGGGCAGGUAGGUGGUCUGUUAAGUCUUCUGUGAAAAUCCGGGGCUCAACCCCGCGAAAUGCAGGUGAAACUGGCAGACUUGAGACCGGUAGAGGCUAGCGGAAUUCCUGGUGUAGCGGUGGAAUGCGUAGAUAUCAGGAAGAACACCUGUGGCGAAGGCGGCUAGCUGGGCCGGUUCUGACACUGAACUGCGAAAGCGUGGGGAGCAAACAGGAUUAGAAACCCCGGUAGUCC
RNAcentral lists this ribosomal RNA (275 nucleotides) under uncultured bacterium. RNAcentral's name for it is "partial 16S ribosomal RNA". It matches the Rfam family "Bacterial small subunit ribosomal RNA", at positions 523 to 796 of the family's 1533-position model. The record is from RNAcentral.